RNAcentral lists this long non-coding RNA (353 nucleotides) under Rattus norvegicus (Norway rat). Its description in RNAcentral is "long non-coding RNA NONRATT007505". The record is from RNAcentral. Lineage: Eukaryota; Metazoa; Chordata; Mammalia; Rodentia; Muridae.
AAAAACUGACUCCUACACUAAAAAAACAUUCAUACUUAGUGUUUUAAAGAAGUUCUCAGACUGCAUGGCAGAAGUGCAGGCUAAAGACAAUAUAUGCUGAGCGACGGCGGGGAGAGCCCAGUGUCCUGGGACAGCUGAGCCUGCAAUGUAGGACUUAACCCCAAAGAGACUGUGCCGUCGUAACUAGCCAUGUUAUUUAUAUGUUUUUGUUCUGUCCAUUGAAAUCUUAUUCUUCUACCCUGUAGGGACUGGAAUUUGCAGAUUAUAUUUAUUUAUUGGUAUUUAUGUACUGAGUUUGUUAACGCUCCAUGGAGGAGCCCUCAGAGUCUAUUUAAUAAAUUAUACCGACACGA